Molecule: ribosomal RNA, 1059 nt
Filed under: uncultured organism
Description: bacterial SSU rRNA
Rfam family: Bacterial small subunit ribosomal RNA
Source: RNAcentral
GAGUACAUCAGCGGCAGACGGGUGAGUAACACGUAGAUAACCUGCCCUCAAGACGGGGACAACCGGUGGAAACAGCGGCUAAUACCCGAUAUGCUCACAGGAUCGGGAGAUCGAGUGAGGAAAGGCUUUGGUGCUUGAGGAGGGAUCUGCGGCCCAUCAGCUAGUUGGUGAGGUAACGGCUCACCAAGGCGAAGACGGGUAGGGGGUGUGAGAGCAUGGCCCCCCACAAUGGGACUGAGACACGGNCCAUACUCCUACGGGAGGCAGCAGCGGGGAAUAUUGCGCAAUGGACGGAAGUCAGACGCAGCGACGCCGCGUGGGUGAGGAAGGCCUUCGGGUUGUAAAGCCCUUUUCAGGGGAGCGAGAAAGGACGGUACCCUUGGAAUAAGCGUCGGCUAACUACGUGCCAGCAGCCGCGGUAAGACGUAGGACGCAAGCGUUAUCCGGAUUUACUGGGCGUAAAGCGCCUGUAGGCGGUCAAGUAAGUCGGAUGUGAAAGCCCCGUGCUCAACGCGGGGAAGCCAUUCGAUACUGCGUGACUAGAGAACGGCAGAGGGAAACGGAAUUUCUGGUGUAGCGGUAAAAUGCGCAGAGAUCAGAAAGAACACCGAUGGCGAAGGCAGUUUCCUAGGCCGCAUCUGACGCUGAGAGGCGAAAGCUAGGGGAGCAAACAGGAUUAGAGACCCUGGUAGUCCUAGCUGUAAACGAUGGAUGCUAGGUGUGGGCCGGAAAGGUCCGUGCCGUAGUUUAACGCGAUAAGCAUCCCGCCUGGGGAGUACGGCCGCAAGGCUAAAACUCAAACGAAUUGACGGGGACCCGCACAAGCAGCGGAGCGUGUGGUUUAAUUCGAUGCUACACGCAGAACCUUACCUGGGCUUGACAUGUAGGUGGUAGUGAAGUGAAAGCGGAGCGACCAUUCGGGGAGCCUACACAGGUGCUGCAUGGCUGUCGUCAGCUCGUGCCGUGAGGUGUCGGGUUUAAGUCCCGUAACGAGCGCAACCUUUGUCCUUAGUUACAAGUGUCUAAGGAGACUGCCGGUGACAAACCGGAGGAAGGUGG